CCGUGGCGGGGGUGCCUAUACAUGCAAGUAGAACGCUGAAGAGAGGAGCUUGCUCUUCUUGGAUGAGUUGCGAACGGGUGAGUAACGCGUAGGUAACCUGCCUUGUAGCGGGGGAUAACUAUUGGAAACGAUAGCUAAUACCGCAUAACAAUGGAUGACCCAUGUCAUUUAUUUGAAAGGGGCAAAUGCUCCACUACAAGAUGGACCUGCGUUGUAUUAGCUAGUAGGUGAGGUAACGGCUCACCUAGGCGACGAUACAUAGCCGACCUGAGAGGGUGAUCGGCCACACUGGGACUGAGACACGGCCCAGACUCCUACGGGAGGCAGCAGUAGGGAAUCUUCGGCAAUGGGGGCAACCCUGACCGAGCAACGCCGCGUGAGUGAAGAAGGUUUUCGGAUCGUAAAGCUCUGUUGUAAGUCAAGAACGAGUGUGAGAGUGGAAAGUUCACACUGUGACGGUAGCUUACCAGAAAGGGACGGCUAACUACGUGCCAGCAGCCGCGGUAAUACGUAGGUCCCGAGCGUUGUCCGGAUUUAUUGGGCGUAAAGCGAGCGCAGGCGGUUUGAUAAGUCUGAAGUUAAAGGCUGUGGCUCAACCAUAGUUCGCUUUGGAAACUGUCAAACUUGAGUGCAGAAGGGGAGAGUGGAAUUCCAUGUGUAGCGGUGAAAUGCGUAGAUAUAUGGAGGAACACCGGUGGCGAAAGCGGCUCUCUGGUCUGUAACUGACGCUGAGGCUCGAAAGCGUGGGGAGCGAACAGGAUUAGAUACCCUGGUAGUCCACGCCGUAAACGAUGAGUGCUAGGUGUUGGAUCCUUUCCGGGAUUCAGUGCCGCAGCUAACGCAUUAAGCACUCCGCCUGGGGAGUACGACCGCAAGGUUGAAACUCAAAGGAAUUGACGGGGGCCCGCACAAGCGGUGGAGCAUGUGGUUUAAUUCGAAGCAACGCGAAGAACCUUACCAGGUCUUGACAUCCCGAUGCUAUUUCUAGAGAUAGAAAGUUACUUCGGUACAUCGGUGACAGGUGGUGCAUGGUUGUCGUCAGCUCGUGUCGUGAGAUGUUGGGUUAAGUCCCGCAACGAGCGCAACCCCUAUUGUUAGUUGCCAUCAUUCAGUUGGGCACUCUAGCGAGACUGCCGGUAAUAAACCGGAGGAAGGUGGGGAUGACGUCAAAUCAUCAUGCCCCUUAUGACCUGGGCUACACACGUGCUACAAUGGUUGGUACAACGAGUUGCGAGUCGGUGACGGCAAGCUAAUCUCUUAAAGCCAAUCUCAGUUCGGAUUGUAGGCUGCAACUCGCCUACAUGAAGUCGGAAUCGCUAGUAAUCGCGGAUCAGCACGCCGCGGUGAAUACGUUCCCGGGCCUUGUACACACCGCCCGUCACACCACGAGAGUUUGUAACACCCGAAGUCGGUGAGGUAACCUUUUGGAGCCAGCCCGCCUAAAGGGUGGAAAUGGUGC
This 1459-nucleotide ribosomal RNA is filed under the name Streptococcus salivarius. RNAcentral describes it as "bacterial SSU rRNA". It matches the Rfam family "Bacterial small subunit ribosomal RNA". Lineage: Bacteria; Bacillati; Bacillota; Bacilli; Lactobacillales; Streptococcaceae. The record is from RNAcentral.